GACGAACGCUGGCGGCGUGCCUAAUACAUGCAAGUCGAGCGAAGUUUUUCUGGUGCUUGCACUAGAAAAACUUAGCGGCGAACGGGUGAGUAACACGUAAAGAACCUGCCUCAUAGACUGGGACAACUAUUGGAAACGAUAGCUAAUACCGGAUAACAGUAUUUCUCGCAUGAGAGAUAUUUAAAAGUUGGUUAUGCUAACACUAUGAGAUGGCUUUGCGGUGCAUUAGCUAGUUGGUGGGGUAAAGGCCCACCAAGGCGACGAUGCAUAGCCGACCUGAGAGGGUGAUCGGCCACACUGGGACUGAGACACGGCCCAGACUCCUACGGGAGGCAGCAGUAGGGAAUCUUCCGCAAUGGGCGAAAGCCUGACGGAGCAACGCCGCGUGAGUGAAGAAGGAUUUCGGUUCGUAAAGCUCUGUUGUUAGGGAAGAAUGGAUAUGUAGUAACUAUACAUAUAAAAGACG
RNAcentral lists this ribosomal RNA (466 nucleotides) under Gemella morbillorum. RNAcentral describes it as "bacterial SSU rRNA". It matches the Rfam family "Bacterial small subunit ribosomal RNA", at positions 28 to 490 of the family's 1533-position model. Lineage: Bacteria; Bacillati; Bacillota; Bacilli; Caryophanales; Gemellaceae. The record is from RNAcentral.